RNAcentral lists this ribosomal RNA (1752 nucleotides) under Triticum aestivum (bread wheat). Its description in RNAcentral is "partial small subunit ribosomal RNA". Lineage: Eukaryota; Viridiplantae; Streptophyta; Magnoliopsida; Poales; Poaceae. The record is from RNAcentral.
CCUUUCAGGCACCACAAAGAAGGAGAGCCUGCUUCUAGGCUCAACUUAGCUGGAGAAGGUACGGAGAUGAGCUCAAACAUCAUUCGGAAGCAGAAGAUCCUUCCACAGGAUAUUCUUGCUAAGGUUAAAGAACAGGAAGAACAAAUUGCUCGUUUAAGAGUGCAACUUGUUGACUACUCAGUGAAGGAAUCCCAAAUACUUAAUGACAAACUUGUUUUGGAAAAACGCAUUGCGCAUAUGCGAAUGGAAUUUGAUCAACAGCAACAAGAUCUUGUUGAUGCCGCAUCAAAAGCUUUAUCUUACAGACAAGACAUUAUGGAAGAAAACCUCCGUCUGACACACUCAUUACAGGCAGCACGUCGAAGGAGAUCAACUUUCGUAUCUUCUUUGUUGCCUCUUCUAUCAGCACAUAACCUGCAGCCUUCUGUUCCCGAUGCUCAAUCAAUUGUUGGCAAUCUGAAGGUUUUGUUUACUCAUUCGCAAGAGAAACUCGCUAUUACUGAGGAGAAACAGAAGAAAUCACAGUACCAGAUUGCUCGGCGUGCUGAAUCUUCAAAUAAUACGGCACAAUCACCUUCUCAUCCUGCUCGAAAUACGCUGAGCCAAGCCAGCCUUGGCAUUGUGCCCCAGCAAGCAUAUUCUCAUGCAGAGUCUCCAAUUUCUUAUCCCGUUCGAGCUAGACGGGAUUGGGAUUUAUUGGCAAAUGAGAACCGUCAGAUCCUCCCAACCAAGGCUGCUCUGACAGACACAGAGCAUGACAAUGCUGGAAGGACCUCUCCUCCAAGAAGCAACCAAUUUACCAAGUAUGGUGUAGCAAAAGAAACUGAGCAUGAAUCUCGUGCUGUACGAUUUAACUUUGAAUCCAAGGAUCAAAACCCAUCAUUCAAGGACCCUGUUGGGGGUGAUGUAACAAAAAAUCUAGAAGGAGCUGAAACCCAAACUUCACGAGAAUCUCCUGCGGAGUGGACUCCUCAAGGCCCACCUCAUUUGGCAUCUGGCCUUGACGGUGGGAACCUGUCUUACCCUUAUCUUCCUACUGUCCUUGAGGAGCCUAGUUCUUCUUUCCCUGAAGCUGUGGAGGAUGACCCACUGCCAGCCAUAGAUGGGCUAAGAAUCACAGGUGAAGCUUUUCCUGGAAGUGAACUUCAAGCAAGUGGGUAUUCCAGCAAUGGGACCACAAGUUGUUAUUUUGAGUGGGUACGCCAUUUGGAAGAUGGAUCGGUAAAUUACAUAGAAGGUGCAAAGCAACCCACAUAUUUAGUUACUGCUGAUGAUGUGGACUCUUUACUAGCCAUAGAGGUCCAGCCUCUAGAUGACAGAAAAAGGAAGGGGGAGAUCGUGAAGGUUUAUGCUAAUGAGCAGAGAAAAAUUACUUGCAAUCCUGAAAUGAAGGAGCUCAUCGAGAAAAUUCUUUCAAUUGGGCAUGUGUCUUAUGAAGUUCUGCUACCUGUUAAAUUUAUAAAUAUGUGGGAUUCUGCCUUAUUGGCAAUAAACAGGGAAGGUUACAGCAUUAAGUAUAAUGGACGGCGUGGUGUUGUUAUGACAGAGAAAUUCCGGCAAGCUACGACUAUCAAUAUUCCAUAUGGGCGUCCGACUGAAUUUUCAAUCCAGUCUGCUAAGGGUGCUCAGUAUAAUCUCAAGCCUGCAAAAAGUUCCCCAUCACGAGAUGCCAUCGUUCUAAUACUGAGGCUGUACAGAAUGAAGGCUCUUGAGAAGAGCAAGGGAAGGAAAAAGGGGAUCUUCUUCAAGUAG